GCCUAUGAGGAUGGUCAGGAAAAGAAACUUCCGUUCUUCUGAUUUCACCAUGAAGAAAUUUCACGGAGACCUGAACUGAGUAGAC
Molecule: small nucleolar RNA, 85 nt
Organism: Prosopis cineraria
Lineage: Eukaryota; Viridiplantae; Streptophyta; Magnoliopsida; Fabales; Fabaceae
Product: small nucleolar RNA Z159/U59
Exons: 1
Source: RefSeq, a predicted model, not a curated record